AGUCGAGCGGAUGAGAGGAGCUUGCUCCUGGAUUCAGCGGCGGACGGGUGAGUAAUGCCUAGGAAUCUGCCUGGUAGUGGGGGACAACGUUUCGAAAGGAACGCUAAUACCGCAUACGUCCUACGGGAGAAAGCAGGGGACCUUCGGGCCUUGCGCUAUCAGAUGAGCCUAGGUCGGAUUAGCUAGUUGGUGAGGUAAUGGCUCACCAAGGCGACGAUCCGUAACUGGUCUGAGAGGAUGAUCAGUCACACUGGAACUGAGACACGGUCCAGACUCCUACGGGAGGCAGCAGUGGGGAAUAUUGGACAAUGGGCGAAAGCCUGAUCCAGCCAUGCCGCGUGUGUGAAGAAGGUCUUCGGAUUGUAAAGCACUUUAAGUUGGGAGGAAGGGCAGUAACUUAAUACGUUGCUGUUUUGACGUUACCGACAGAAUAAGCACCGGCU
RNAcentral lists this ribosomal RNA (443 nucleotides) under Pseudomonas sp. B1L5. RNAcentral describes it as "bacterial SSU rRNA". It matches the Rfam family "Bacterial small subunit ribosomal RNA", at positions 60 to 498 of the family's 1533-position model. The record is from RNAcentral. Lineage: Bacteria; Pseudomonadati; Pseudomonadota; Gammaproteobacteria; Pseudomonadales; Pseudomonadaceae.